RNAcentral lists this ribosomal RNA (453 nucleotides) under uncultured bacterium. RNAcentral's name for it is "SSU rRNA". It matches the Rfam family "Bacterial small subunit ribosomal RNA", at positions 26 to 518 of the family's 1533-position model. The record is from RNAcentral.
AGAGCGAACGCUGGCGGCAGGCCUAACACAUGCAAGUCGAGCGCCCGUAGCAAUACGGGAGCGGCAGACGGGAUAGUAACACGUGGGAACGCGCCCUUCGGUUCGGAAUAACUCAGGGAAACUUGAGCUAAUACCGAAUACGCCCUUACGGGGAAAGAUUUAUUGCCGAAGGAACGGCCCGCGUCCGAUUAGCUAGUUGGUGAGGUAAUGGCUCACCAAGGCUACGAUCGGUAGCUGGUCUGAGAGGAUGACCAGCAUCACUGGGACUGAGACACGGCCCAGACUCCUACGGGAGGCAGCAGUGGGGAAUAUUGCGCAAUGGGCGAAAGCCUGACGCAGCGACGCCGCGUGGGGGAUGAAGGCCUUCGGGUUGUAAACCCCUUUCAGCAGGGACGAAGCGAAAGUGACGGUACCUGCAGAAGAAGCGCCGGCUAACUACGUGCCAGCAGCCGC